UAGAAAUAAAUAAUCCAAAGUUCUAAAUAUGUUAAAUUAAGCUUAGUAACACCUCAUACUCGACUCCGGCGAUGGUCUCGGGCGUGGGGGCGUUACAUUUAGUGGUAUCAGAGCAGGUUUAGUCAGUUCUCGGACUACGUGUUGUAUGUACGGAUUUUGCUAUACAUGCCAUAUGUAUGAAUUGUGAUAGUGUGACGACUUCUGACCUUUUUAAAUGAAUUUUUUUUAUAUAGUAAAUGGAUCCCGAUCCAGCUGUGGCAGAUGAAGUAGAGAGUAAUGCGCCAGCUCCGG
This 291-nucleotide long non-coding RNA is filed under the name Gossypium barbadense (sea-island cotton). RNAcentral's name for it is "long non-coding RNA (GBAR_LNC003332)". Lineage: Eukaryota; Viridiplantae; Streptophyta; Magnoliopsida; Malvales; Malvaceae. The record is from RNAcentral.